GGGUCCUAUGCAGUCAUCGCUGGCUCCUCCAAGGUCAAGUUUGACCUCAAGGUCUUAGAAGCAGGGAAGGCAGAGCCUUUGCCAGGCCCUGCCCCCGCCCCUGCUGAGGCUCCUGGAGCCCCCGGAGAAGCCCUGGCCUCGGCCACUGAAGUGGAAGGAGGCUCCCCGAGGCCUGAAGGGUCAAGCUCAGCAGCCCCCGAUGGACCCAGUGUCCCUGACGAUCCCAUCGGCCUCUUUGUGAUGAGGCCACAGGAUGGCGAGGUGACCGC
Non-coding RNA from Delphinapterus leucas (beluga whale), 269 nucleotides. NCBI's taxonomy places the organism in Eukaryota, Metazoa, Chordata, Mammalia, Artiodactyla, Monodontidae. The record is from RefSeq and is a predicted model, not a curated record.